This 473-nucleotide ribosomal RNA is filed under the name uncultured bacterium. RNAcentral describes it as "bacterial SSU rRNA". It matches the Rfam family "Bacterial small subunit ribosomal RNA", at positions 326 to 793 of the family's 1533-position model. The record is from RNAcentral.
ACGCUAUCACUCCUACGGGAGGCAGCAGUAAGGAAUAUUGGACAAGUGGGCAACCCUGAUCCAGCCAUCCCGCGUGUAGGAAGACUGCCCUAUGGGUUGUAAACUACUUUUAGAUAGGAAGAACGGCGUGUAUUAAUAUGCGUAUGACGGUACUAUCAGAAUAAGCACCGGCUAACUCCGUGCCAGCAGCCGCGGUAAUACGGAGGGUGCAAGCGUUAUCCGGAAUCACUGGGUUUAAAGGGUGCGUAGGCGGUCCGACAAGUCAGAGGUGAAAUGCACGAGCUUAACUGGUGAAUUGCCUUUUGAAACUGUCGAGCUAGAAUUAUGUUGAGGUCAGCGGAAUGAGUCAUGUAGCGGAUGAAAUGCAUAGAUUAUGACUUAUGAACACCAAUUGCGUAGGCAGCUGGCUGGGCAUAUAUUGACGCUGAGGCACAGAAAGCGUGGGGAGCGAACAGGAUUAGAUACCCUGGUAG